RNAcentral lists this unclassified non-coding RNA (261 nucleotides) under Hevea brasiliensis (rubber tree). The record is from RNAcentral. Lineage: Eukaryota; Viridiplantae; Streptophyta; Magnoliopsida; Malpighiales; Euphorbiaceae.
AAAAUAAUCAGGGGUGAAAUAACUAAAUGUCAGGAGAAGUUGCAUCUCACUGAACAUCACGAAGGAAAUUGGAGAUUCGUAAGGUAGCCAAUAAGCAACCGAAUUCAAUUAGCAGAUCAUUGUUUUAGCUGAAUGCUUAGUGACGUAGCAUUACAGAUUUUGAGUUGCUUAUGCUUGUAUGCAUGGAUAAGUUAGGCAGCCAACUAAUUAUCAAUUUCCUACCUGAGGAAAUUGAAAAAGCAACAGAGACUUGUAAUGAAG